This 72-nucleotide transfer RNA is filed under the name Toxocara canis (dog roundworm). It matches the Rfam family "tRNA". Rfam says of the family: Transfer RNA (tRNA) molecules are approximately 80 nucleotides in length. Their secondary structure includes four short double-helical elements and three loops (D, anti-codon, and T loops). The record is from Rfam by way of RNAcentral. Lineage: Eukaryota; Metazoa; Nematoda; Chromadorea; Rhabditida; Toxocaridae.
GCGGUAAUAGCUCAGUGGUAGAACCCCCGCUUUGCGUGCGGGGAGACCCGGGUUCGAAUCUCGGGUGCUUCC